AUGCUUACCUGGCAGGGAGAUACCAUGGUCAUGAAGGUGGUUUUCCCAGGGUGAGACUUAUGCAUUGCACUCUGGAUGUGCUGACCCCUGUGAUUUCCCCAAAUGUGGGAAACUCAACUGCGUAAUUUGUGGUAGUGGGGGACUGUGUUCUCAUUCUCCCCUA
Molecule: small nuclear RNA, 163 nt
Filed under: Dasypus novemcinctus (nine-banded armadillo)
Lineage: Eukaryota; Metazoa; Chordata; Mammalia; Cingulata; Dasypodidae
Description: U1 spliceosomal RNA (ENSDNOG00000030630.1)
Rfam family: U1 spliceosomal RNA
About the family: U1 is a small nuclear RNA (snRNA) component of the spliceosome (involved in pre-mRNA splicing). Its 5' end forms complementary base pairs with the 5' splice junction, thus defining the 5' donor site of an intron.
Source: RNAcentral